Long non-coding RNA from Austrofundulus limnaeus, 308 nucleotides. RefSeq lists it as uncharacterized. The transcript is spliced from 2 exons. The record is from RefSeq and is a predicted model, not a curated record. NCBI's taxonomy places the organism in Eukaryota, Metazoa, Chordata, Actinopteri, Cyprinodontiformes, Rivulidae.
GUUUUAUUCACUCGUGGGAGGAAAUCUGAGGCAUUUCAUGUAAAUGUGACCAAGAGAGGAGAGGAAAAAAAAGAUUGCUGGAUUUCUGUUAACGGACCGAGCUGCUGGAGGAACGAGAGGGCUCUCCCAAUCGAUGUGACGUCUUUGCCCCGGUGGGAAUGGCUCGAUCCAGAAGGAGAAUGUAUUAAACCUGUGCAAUAAUUUUGGUUUGGGCCCAAAAACUCUGAGACUGAAAAAAGCCUGUAUUUGGUCCUGCUGAAAGGUUGUGUAUGGCUUUAUUUUCUGCAAAUAAAUGUUCAAGUCUAAAA